This is a non-coding RNA of Lupinus angustifolius (narrow-leaved blue lupine), 81 nucleotides long. The record is from Rfam. NCBI's taxonomy places the organism in Eukaryota, Viridiplantae, Streptophyta, Magnoliopsida, Fabales, Fabaceae.
AAGCUAUGACGAGUUUGUACUAAUUGUGAUGGCUGGGUCUAUCACUAACGUCAUUCGACGAAAACUAGUAUAUCUGAGCUC